This 492-nucleotide ribosomal RNA is filed under the name uncultured bacterium. Its description in RNAcentral is "partial 16S ribosomal RNA". It matches the Rfam family "Bacterial small subunit ribosomal RNA", at positions 29 to 507 of the family's 1533-position model. The record is from RNAcentral.
AGUGAACGCUGGCGGUAGGCCUAACACAUGCAAGUCGAACGGCAGCACAGUAAGAGCUUGCUCUUACGGGUGGCGAGUGGCGGACGGGUGAGGAAUACAUCGGAAUCUACUUUUUCGUGGGGGAUAACGUAGGGAAACUUACGCUAAUACCGCAUACGACCUACGGGUGAAAGCAGGGGAUCUUCGGACCUUGCGCGAUUGAAUGAGCCGAUGUCGGAUUAGCUAGUUGGCGGGGUAAAGGCCCACCAAGGCGACGAUCCGUAGCUGGUCUGAGAGGAUGAUCAGCCAAACUGGAACUGAGACACGGUCCAGACUCCUACGGGAGGCAGCAGUGGGGAAUAUUGGACAAAGGGCGCAAGCCUGAUCCAGCCAUACCGCGUGGGUGAAGAAGGCCUUCGGGUUGUAAAGCCCUUUUGUUGGGAAAGAAAAGCAGCAGGUUAAUACCCCGCUGUUCUGACGGUACCCAAAGAAUAGGCACCGGCUAACUUCGUG